GUGCGGGCUUCUGUGCGCCGAUUGGUCCGACUCCCCCGUCAGCGGCCCGGCUCAGCUGUCCGCGUGCGCCUGACUGGUCCGCGGUGCCCGGAGCCCACGUGCCGCCGCCGCCCCGGACACCGGGCGGCCCGCGAGAGCUGCGGCAGAUCGCGCUCCCCACGGCGGGAGCGCCCGGCGCGGCGCUGGUGGCGACCACGUGUGAGCGAGGCGCGCGGGCAGGGAGCGCCCGGCGCGGGGCUCGGGGCCGUCCCCGAGGAGCCCGGGGCGGAGCAGGCCGAAGCGCCGGGCGUGGCCCUCCUGGCUGCCCGGCCAGAGCUGCGGGCGGGUGCGCGCGCGGUGCCGUCGCCCGCCUCUGCCCGACCAACUGUUUUGUAGGAAUCUGUGUAGAUGGUGACAGGCUCCUCCUCGUGCACCCGUCCUUGGAGCCAGCGUGUCAAUGACGAGCUGCAGCAUGACAGAAGCAGGACUUGGGGCAGAAGGGCCCCCGGGACCUGUCAUGCCUGCAAGGGCCAUUCUGGGCACUCAGGUGUGCGUGCGGGGCCUGCAGCGGUCCCUCGGAAACAGCCAGGGCACCACGGGUAACAGGCUAGUCCUUGUGCACCUGUGCUUGGAACCAACUUACCAGUGAGGAGGUGUAGGCCUGGGGUAGAAGGGCCUCAACAGCUGACACAUCUGCAGCGGGUGACUGCAGGCUGCUGAGAAACCGGCUUUUGGGGCCUGCACCAGUCUCUCGGAAACAUCUGAGGCAGCUCUUGCAACAGAUACCAAUUGCUCAGGAUGAAAUGGCACUUUCUCUUAGCUAUGCUGCAUCUAUGGAGGCAACAGUGCAUGGGGCUCUGUGGUGUCUGGCAGUUCUGAGCAGAUGCAGAACUCCACUGAGCCAUCCCAGUUGCCGGAAGCAUCAUCCUCAGGACAGAGGUCCAGUCAGGAGCUAGAUGAAACAACACAGUUGGACAUCUCUGAAAGACUGUCCGUGGAAGAUGUUGAGUCUGAAACUGGCAUGACAUGACAUGGCUGUGUCAACAGUCCUUGAGACCAGGAGCUUAAAGGACCACAAGGGUGAGGACAAGUGUUGCUUGGAACAUGAGCCAGUCAGCCUUACAGACCUGAGUCUAGGGUGAUGGUCACAUCUCUUGGCUGAGUAACUGUCCACUUCUGCAGCGGGUGAUGGUAACUUCAUUCCUUAUAUGUAUUGCUAAUCCUACAAAGUGAUGUGCUUUAGGCAAGAUGGCUGUGAUUACUUCCAGAGGAAAUGUCAAAGCAGUCACUUUCUAGCGAACAAACCUGUGCUAGCAGCACAAAUUGCAGGAAUGGGACUUGGACUGGCAUGUUCUCCAAGUAGGUGUGCAAAUAAAAGGAGCAAGCAAGGUGCACUGUCAAAUACAAGGCAAACGUGAAGUCAGUUUUAAGACCUGUUUUACAAAGUGUCCAGUAUCAUAACUGCUAAAAGCAAUGGGUCAGUUGAGGGAGACCUUGCUACAGAGCUUUUGUGAAUUGGGAGUUGGUGAAACUACUAAUUGUGUGAUGCAAGAUACUAAUGUAGUUUGCAUGAUGAAACAAAACAUGUCUAUGUAGGUGAAAUACUUACUGAUGGGGAGAUGCAGUAGUCUAUAAAUGGCAUGGGUUUUUUUGUUCUUGAGCUCUAGAGUCGGAAUGAAGUCAGCCUCGUGCUGCACGGAAAUGCAAGUGAAGAUUUUUUUACAAAAAUAUAUAUUUAUUGAUUGAUUUUUAGUAAUUUUUUUGUCCCCCAAGCCAGAUUAAUUCCAAAUCCAUGAGUCAUUCAAGAACCACAUGUGACCCUACUACCAGCAGACAUCCUCCACCCCCACCUGGGGCUUCAGAUGCUUCCAAAUCAUUUGGCGGGCAUACUAUGUGCAGGACCUAGCUCAGAGGCUUGGGGUUCAGAUGCCCCUAAGUUUCGCUCAUCCUCAACCCUGUGGCUGCAGGAGCAAGCUAGAGAGGAGUCUCCCAUUUUGCUAAAAGUGGGCAUAAAGCCAAGAUCUUCCCUCAGGAAAUGAACAUAGGAAAUUAACUACAUUUUACCUCCGCAGGUUCUACCCCAUGCCAGAAAAGCGGUUAUCCUGAGCAACUAGGAAAACCGCCUUAGUGGUCAUGGUAUUUCCGCUGCCAGGUAAGUAUGGAAAUGCGAGUGCAGAUGCCCUGUGCUAGCUUCAAAACUGUAAGUGGUAGUUCUUCCAGUUCGAGCUAGUUGAGAGUGGAAUAUUUAUAGGCACUGUAUUUAGGGUGGCCAUUGGUCCUGUUUUCUACUGAACUAUCCUGUUUUAAACCCUGUGUCUCCUCUUGGUUUCUGAAUGAGGAGUGGAUGGCAAAAAGUCCCGUUUUUUAGUUAGUUGGUGGAAAUUUACAUGUUAAUAUUAUUUGCCCUCACAAUUCUGUGGGCUGUGCCCAGGGGGUAGGGCAGUGCACAGCCAGGAGGAAUGGAGUGGCCCCACCCCUUGCUGCUGGUUGGCUAAGGUGUCAGGCCCACCCCUCUCUGCUGAUUGGCAGGGGGGCCUGCCUGUCACCAAAGGGAUGUCCUGUGUCUGGGGAUGCUAAUUACUGCACAAUAUACCCUAAGGGAGGGGCUUUCAACCUUUUUUGGUUUAGGUACCCCCGCAAGAUCGAGGAGGGGGGAGUCCACCUCUGCGAAACAAGAUGCUCUGGUGGCAAAAUCAGAUGCGCUGCCGGUGAAACUGGAAGUGCCCCCAGCUUCUCCGCUCUGCUGCCACGUGCCCCCUGGGGGCUUCCCAAGUACUGGUUGACAACCCCUGCCCUAAGUCGUCCUGAGGUCAUAACUUGCUCGGGAGUAUCAUGACGCAGAAGAGCAAUGGGAUGAAACUAAAGAAGAGAACUUCAGCCGAGCGUUGGGAAAGGGAUUUUUUGCAACAGAAAGGAAGGAGUCUUGUCCAUUCCCAGUGGGUUUAGAUUUAUGGUGCAGGGUGACACUGUGGUCCGUGCCAAAGAGGGGGGGUUUGAGACAGUGUGAAAAGCUAGGAAGGAAAUAGGAUAUUAAAUUAUUGAGUUCUGCACCAACACUCCUGCAUCCCAUGCCAUUCCUUGGCUACCUGCAUUGCAGGACAUUUCACUGCCACAACUUGUCCUCUCCGGCCUCCAAGUUGUAAGGGUGUGCCUGUAUCCCUGGCACAUCACAUUUCACUUUUAACUCUCCCUCCUUCCACCUUUCUCCCGCCCAGUCUCCCCAAAAAGACCUUUCCCAGGUAGUUUUGGAUCAAAGAUAUAUCACGACCUGUGCACCGAUUCCAAGAGAGGUUUGAUAACAUGAUACAUGUGAAGCCCAGUGAGUGGCCACUGAGGACAAUUUCCCUUGAUGAACUACAAAGUCUGAGAAUCGGUUGGACACGCGCGUCUGACGUGCAAGGGGCUCAGAGAAGUGGAAACGAGCAACUGUCUAAUUUGCAGCCGAGUUUUCCACGAAACCAACGCGUGGGGGAGGGCGGUUGGACGGAGACCUGCAGGCGGACGACGGGACCAGCUCUGGAAACGCCAGUGCCUCCGGGCGCCGCAAGAACCUCACCCCCGGGCUGGUCUUCCGCCCGCCAAACCGUGGGCGGCCGGCGGGAGCAGCGGUCGAGCACGGGGCUGGGAACGGACGAAGCGGGACACCCAGGGUGGCCGGGGCCAUCCUCCCGCCUCGGCCACGGUCUCCUGUUCAAGGCGGUCCGCAAGAUGCAGUGCCCAGGCCACAGGGCCGGCGACUGACGAGGUCCCACUGCGGGCGCUGCGCAAGCGCGCUAACCUAGUAUCCAUAAAUUCGGCGUUCAGCUGAUCCGCCUGUCAGUGAUGCGCAUGCGAACUUGCCUUGCCAAUUGAUGGGCAAGCGCGGUGCUCACCCGUACCCAAGUGCGCAUGCGGGCAAAGGGCGGCUCAUCGACGUUUUCGUCAUCCGACAGCUCUACUCCGCAUGCGCAGUGGUUUAAUGACCCCCCCCCCAGCGUUGUUUUAAUUACCCGGCCGCUUUCCCGGACACCGGCUCCGCGCGGCGACGGUUGCAGGCCCGGAGUGACGGGAGGGAGCGUCCCUGUCCUCCCUCGAUUAAUGACUGGACGCGGGGAACCUAUUCCGUUUGUUCCCAGUAUGCAUGCGCGUUGGGACUCGGGCCUCGAUAAUUUUAGAGGUCAGCCCUGUUGUCCCUGCCUCGGUAGCCAUGAAAACCUCAAUACGUUCGGCACUUGGCAGCGCCCCCCUAUUACCAGGACGCAUGCGUUAAUCCACAAUACUGAUAAUUGAUGUGUUUGGCCUCCAAGCGAUACGCAUGCGCGCUUCUCAGUGUUCAGCCUCUAACAGCCAUGCACAUGCGCACUUGCUUUGCCCGUUGAACAGUAAAGGUGGUGCCGCCUAAUUCCCAAGUGCGUAUGCGUGCUCAUGGCCAGUCCCAACUGGAAGGCAGCUGUGCGCUGCAGCGCAUGCACACUUGGUCUCCCCAGUGAUGGUUUAAGGACGUGGCCGUUUGCCCGCGCUCCGCUGGCUGCGGGUGCGGGCCCGGAGUGAGAGGGCGGGGCGGCUAUGCACACACGCGCGCUGGGUGUCCCCCAGUGAUGGUUUAACGCAGCAGUCGACUUCCCACAUAGCGAGCGGCGCCGAGGUCAGCGUGCGGCCCCUUCCCGUUGCCCCUUGUAUUGGUUCCAGAGGGAACUGUAGCGCUCAUUUUCUACUACGUAUGCGCAUUGUGACUCGCGCCUCAUAGUUUCGGCGCUGGUUGUGUCGUCAGUGCCGUGGUGACGAAAACACCAAUAAUUCCUACUCAGCACCGAGCCCUGAUUUCCAAGACGCAUGCGGCAAUCCGCAAAAUGGGCGAUCGAUGUCUUUGCAGGGCGAGCACUGCGCAUGCGAACUCACCAUUAUCGAUGAAUGCGGUAUUCUGCUAAUCAGACCAUAACCUCCGUGCGCAUGCGUACUUGAUUCGCCCACUCGUGGGCAAAGGACAUGUGCUGUCUGCGCAUGCGUGAUCAUGGUCGGUCAUCCAUGUUUUCGUCCCACGAUUGCGAACCAGCUUUGGACUGGUGCUCGCACUGCCCCGCCCCGAGAAAUGGCUUCAACACUCAGGUCGCAUUCCCGCACACGGGCUUCGCAACCCGUGCAGCUGCAGCUCUGGCCCCAAUUGACAGAGAGGGGUAAAGCGGGGCAUUUCUGACCCUUCGUCUUCCCGCGAGAAUUGGACACCAUCGAUCAGGCUUACUCCGCAUGCGCAUCGGGACUGGCACCGUGAUCGUUUCGAUGCUCGUCCUGUCAUCAUUACCGCUGUAACCAUGGAAACCCAACAAUGACUACCUUUCUUGGCACCGCCCUGAUUCCGAAGACACGUGUGAACCGACAAUAUCGGCGAUCGAUGUAUUUUCACUGCCGCCACUGCGCAUAUGUAUUAACCAGCUCUAUCGAUAAAUUCGGUUUUCAGCUGAUCA
Long non-coding RNA from Alligator mississippiensis (American alligator), 5420 nucleotides. RefSeq lists it as uncharacterized. The record is from RefSeq and is a predicted model, not a curated record. Lineage: Eukaryota; Metazoa; Chordata; Crocodylia; Alligatoridae. The transcript is spliced from 4 exons.